This 2091-nucleotide unclassified non-coding RNA is filed under the name Hevea brasiliensis (rubber tree). Lineage: Eukaryota; Viridiplantae; Streptophyta; Magnoliopsida; Malpighiales; Euphorbiaceae. The record is from RNAcentral.
AGCAGUCAUUUCUGGUUGUGCCAAUCUUGGGAGAAUUGAAUGGGGUGAACAAUUGCAUGCCCGCAUGUUAUCUCAGGGUCUAAUGAGUUCUUCUUCAGUGGCCAAUUCCAUCAUGACCAUGUAUUCAAAAUGUGGACAGCUAAUUUCGGCUGCAAUGGUGUUUCAAGAGUUGACUAGAAGAGAUACUGUUUCGUGGAGCACAAUAAUUGCAGGAUAUUCUCAAGAAGGGUAUGCAGAAGAAGCAUUUGAAUAUCUAUCAUGGAUGAGAAGGGAAGGGCCAAAACCAAAUGAGUUUACUCUUGCUAGCGUACUGAGUGUUUGUGGAAACAUGGCAAUCCUUGAGCAAGGGAAGCAAUUGCAUGCACAUGUCUUGCAUGUUGGGUUAGAAGAAACUGCAAUGGUCCGAAGUUCAUUAAUCAAUAUGUAUUCCAAAUGUGGAAGCUUAAAGGAAGCUUCAAAAAUCUUUGAUGAGGCAGAAAAUGAUGAUAUUGUGUCAUGGACAGCCAUGAUUAAUGGAUAUGCUGAACAUGGAUGCAGCCAGGAAGCCAUUGAUUUGUUUGAGAAAAUUCCCCAGAUUGGUUUGAGACCUGAUCCUGUGACUUUUAUUGGUGUUCUCACUGCUUGUAGUCAUGCUGGACUAGUUGAUCUCGGCUUCCAUUACUUCAAUUCAAUGAGUAAUGAAUACCAAAUUUGCCCCUCAAAAGAGCACUAUGGCUGCAUGAUUGAUCUCCUUUGCCGAGCUGGACGAUUAAGUGAAGCAGAAAGCAUGAUUAAAAGCAUGCCAUUUAAAAAGGAUGAUGUUGUUUGGUCAACACUUCUUAGAGCAUGCAGGGUCCAUGGUGAUGUUGAUUGUGGAAGGCGUACUGCAGAGAAGAUUCUUGAAUUAGAUCCCAAUUGUGCAGCAACUCACAUUACCUUGGCCAAUAUGUAUGCUGCCAAAGGAAGGUGGGAUGAAGCAGCAAAUGCAAGGAAGCUGAUGAAAGUAAAAGGUAUAAUUAAGGAGCCAGGGUGGUCAUGGAUUAAGGUCAAGGAUCGAGUUUCUGCAUUCAUGUCUCGUGAUCAGUCUCAUCCUCUGGGUGAAGAUAUAUAUAGCAUGCUCGAUUUACUAGUCUCCAAGGCACAAAAGCCUGUCCUAGAAAUAGAUCCUCUUCUAGAUGAUGCCAACCAUUAGCGAAGGUGAAUCAUGCACCACCAUUGGAUGUAGAUUGAAGUUAAUUUUAACUCAUGCAGACACUUUUAUGAGCUGCGUAUCAUAAAAUAUGGGAAGGAGGUUAAAUCUGGUUGAUAUAGAUCGCAAAAGGUAGCUAUAAAGCUUACUCAUAUGAUUACAAAGAUACACAAAUGAUAGAUGGGACAAAGUUGAGGUGUGCAGGAUCUUCUUAUGGUGUAGCAUGCACGAAUUGUGGUUAUGUUCAUGCUAAACGAGCCGUUGAUCUUACAAGGUAGCAACAAACGUACAUUUUGCUGAUGCAGGUCACAAAUGAUAACUAGAAGCUGAUUUUUGUGAUUAAAGAUGUAGCAGAUGAUGGAUGAUGAAACUGAGUUGCUGAUGCAUCUUAUCAUGUGGUAUGUAGUGCAAAGUGUGUUUAUAUCCUUAUAGAGAGAAUCUACAAAACAUAGAUGGAUUGCAUCUUUCUUGGCGGCAGACAACUGUGAGCCAAUCAGAAAGCAUAACCACAUGCCAAUGAUGCAUUGAUAUUUGGGACACAUGAAUUUGUAGGUUAUAUUUCUUCAUUGAACUUGUGCAAUUAGAAGGAUAUUUUUAACAUUGAGAACUUCUGAUCUUCAGGUGAUAUCGUAUGCAAACAGGGUUUGAGACUUGAAUGCAUUUUGGCAAUUCAAUCAUAUUUUUUCUGAAGGAUAACUUCUCUUUUAUGGUGUUAUAUUCGAAUGAUUAAAUUAUUCAUCUUAUGUUUGGGAUUCAAAAAGGAAACACCCUAGCUGGAACAUUUGGUUGUUCCAUGAAGUUGAGAUCCUGAAGUUGGGGUUGGGGUUUAUUGAACAGGAGAGAGUUACCCUCCAUCGUCCAGCCCAUUUAAUGGAAAGGAGGGAGAAUAGUUGAUUAGCCUAUAUAUAUAUAUAUAUAUAUAU